Vicugna pacos (alpaca) is the source of this 631-nucleotide non-coding RNA. Lineage: Eukaryota; Metazoa; Chordata; Mammalia; Artiodactyla; Camelidae. The record is from RefSeq and is a predicted model, not a curated record.
CCCACGAGGCAGUUUCCUCUUCUGUGAAAUGGGAGUGACCACCCGUCCUACCAGGCAGGACUGCUGAGUGUAGCAGUACAAAUGGACUGUGACUAACAGGAAAAGGAACCUCAUGGGAAGGUUAUCAGGAGUUCAGAUUAGAGAAUGAGGUUUGGAAAUGGACAGGAACCCGGGCAGCUCAGAGGAUGGCGAUGGGACAGGCUCCUCCGCAGUCGUGCUAUGCGGUGGAAAUGGUGCUGAGUGACUCCCAAGACGAGGACAGAAGAGGUGACCAGCUCCCACCCACCCCUCUCUCUCUCGGAGCACACCCCUUUGCAGCCCUGAGCCACCAGGAAGAAGCCCAGCUACUCAGAAGCUACUGGAGACACCAUGUGGGAAAGAAACCACAGAGACAGAGAGAGAGGCUCGGGGAGCCCGGCUGUUCACUUCUUCUCCGCCCCUGUGCAGGCGUGUGAGCGAGCCUUCAGGAUAAUGAAAGCCCUUGUGAAUGCUGGAGUCCCUGUGCCCCAAGUUCUUGACCUCUGUGAAGAUUCAAGGUAAGUUAGCAAAAGCAUGGAGACAAUUGUGAUGGUAGUUAUAAAACUGUGUGUUUGUCAAAAUCCAUAAAAUGCUACACUUCAAUACACCUGAU